CGGCAUUUUCUGAUUGAUUAAAUGUUUUUCAGAAGAUGCAGAUGACAAUAAAUUCAAAAAGAAUGCAUUUCCAUAAUUAGGCCUAACACGUGAUAGUUUUCUAAUACGACAGUCAAAGGAAUUCAAAAUUAACAUACUAAAUGACAUAAGUUGUUGAACUGAAAUCAAAGCUGAUAUAUUUUUAAAUUUAUAAUUUUAUUGUGGCAAAUUGACGAAAACGACGAAGUUUUGGAGAGCAAAACAAGCGAUCCAAAUCAGUACCAGAUCGAAAAUUUUAAAUUUGUCGAAACGUAUUCCGCACUCUUAAUGACGUCACGCGUUAAAUUAAAAUAGUAAAAAUCGAUGGUGAUUAUUUUAAAUGGUUAUUCAUUUUUAAAAUUAUUAUUUUUUUUAGAUAUAUCUUCACUUCCAAGAUUUAUUUAAUAAUGCAUAAAUCUCUAUCGUAGAAAUCUUGUCAAGUAUGAAAUAGCAAAUCGUUGAAAAUUGCUUGUGUGUGUGUGUGUUAGGUGCUGUGAACAUGAAUGUGUGUAGAAAUUCUGUGAUAAAUUAAAUGAUUUUGAGGAUGAUUUAAUUAAUAGAAAAUGGAAGUAACAGAUCCUAUUGAACCACAGCCAUUAAAAACUCUAGAAGCAAUUCAUGUUCGCGGUCAUUUAUUAGAAAGAUUUAAUAAAUUAAAGAAAUGGCAGGAGGAACAACAAGAACGUUUGCGAUCAAUACAAAAACUUCAGUGGCAGAAACUACAAGAACAGGAAAAAUACAUUAGUACAAUUCAAAACAAAAAACUAGCAAAUUAUGAUGAUAAAAAUACAUUAGUACAAUUCAAAACAAAAAACUAGCAAAUUAUGAUGAUAAAAAUACAAACAUUUCAAAUUUUCAUAAUGAAUUAGGCACAGGAUUAUCUUCGAAUGCAACUGAAAUUGUUCAAAAAUCAAAAGAAUGUAUACCUUUGCUAAAAGAAACUAGAUCUAUAAUAAAUAGUAGUGAUGAUAAUAGGCCCAUUCAACCAGGAAUCUCUGCUGAAAAAUCAUUUGAAGAAUUGCUUGAGAAGGAAUUGUUAAAAGAUAGAAGUAUUCAUUUUGAACAACAAACAAAAUCGAUGAAAAGACCUUAUUUGAAAAAAGGUAGUGGUUUGAAAAGAUAUAACAUUAAGGCACCUCAAAAAUUGAUAAAGAAACCAUCUAAACAAUUAGUUAGUAAAUUAAAACUCAAAAAAGAAACUAAACAAAAUAAUUUUCCGC
RNAcentral lists this long non-coding RNA (1238 nucleotides) under Androctonus crassicauda. Lineage: Eukaryota; Metazoa; Arthropoda; Arachnida; Scorpiones; Buthidae. The record is from RNAcentral.